AACGCGAAGAACCUUACCCAGGCUUGACAUGCAGUAGACCGGUCCAGAAAUGGGCCUUUCCUUCGGGACUGCUGCACAGGUGCUGCAUGGCUGUCGUCAGCUCGUGCCGUGAGGUGUUGGGUUAAGUCCCGCAACGAGCGCAACCCUUAUCAUUAGUUGCCAACAUUUAAGGUGGGAACUCUAAUGAGACUGCCUGGGUUAACCAGGAGGAAGGUGAGGAUGACGUCAAGUCCGCAUGGCCCUUAUGUCUGGGGCUACACACGUGCUACAAUGGUCGGUACAGAAGGCAGCGAAACCGCGAGGUGAAGCAAAUCCCGAAAACCGGCCUCAGUUCAGAUUGUAGUCUGCAACUCGACUACAUGAAGACGGAAUUGCUAGUAAUGGCGAGUCAGCAACAUCGCCGUGAAUACGUUCCCGGGCCUUGUA
RNAcentral lists this ribosomal RNA (426 nucleotides) under uncultured Chlamydiae bacterium. Its description in RNAcentral is "bacterial SSU rRNA". It matches the Rfam family "Bacterial small subunit ribosomal RNA", at positions 958 to 1385 of the family's 1533-position model. Lineage: Bacteria; Pseudomonadati; Chlamydiota; Chlamydiia. The record is from RNAcentral.